UACAGGGAAAAACUGUUUUAAACUUAAAAAUUAAAUUGAUUUUAAUUUGUGAAGAAACAAUUAUUUAAAUUAAGGACAAGAAGACCCUAAGAAUUUUAAAGAUAAUAAUUUUAAUAUUAAAAUGAUUAUCUUUUGGUUGGGGCAACUAAAAAAGAUUAUAAACUUUUUAUUCAAUAAAAUGACCCAUUAUUAAUGAUAAUUUGAUAAAAAUACUCUAGGGAUAACAGCGUAAUAAUUUUUGAUAGAACAUAUAGACAAAAUAGUUUGCGACCUCGAUGUUGGAUUAGGAUACUUUUUUAAUGAAGAUGUUAAAAAAAGAAGUUUGUUCAACUUUUAAAGUCCU
RNAcentral lists this ribosomal RNA (343 nucleotides) under Dermacentor andersoni. Its description in RNAcentral is "partial 16S ribosomal RNA". The stretch from base 220 to 343 matches the Rfam family "Bacterial large subunit ribosomal RNA", at positions 2473 to 2597 of the family's 2925-position model. Lineage: Eukaryota; Metazoa; Arthropoda; Arachnida; Ixodida; Ixodidae. The record is from RNAcentral.